GACGAACGCUGGCGGCGUGCUUAACACAUGCAAGUCGAACGGAAAGGCCCUGCUCUUGUGGGGGGCUCGAGUGGCGAACGGGUGAGUAACACGUGAGUAACCUGCCCUUGACUUUGGGAUAACUUCAGGAAACUGGGGCUAAUACCGGAUAGGAGCUCCUGCGGCAUGGGGGGGGUUGGAAAGUUUCGGCGGUUGGGGAUGGACUCGCGGCUUAUCAGCUUGUGGGUGGGGUAGUGGCUUACCAAGGCUUUGACGGGUAGCCGGCCUGAGAGGGUGACCGGCCACAUUGGGACUGAGAUACGGCCCAGACUCCUACGGGAGGCAGCAGUGGGGAAUAUUGCGCAGUGGGCGGAAGCCUGAUGCAGCAGCGCCGCGUGCGGGAUGACGGCCUUCGGGUUGUAAACCGCUUUCGCCUGUGACGAAGCGUGAGUGACGGUAAUGGGUAAAGAAGCACCGGCUAACUACGUG
Molecule: ribosomal RNA, 468 nt
Filed under: uncultured bacterium
Lineage: Bacteria
Description: partial 16S ribosomal RNA
Rfam family: Bacterial small subunit ribosomal RNA
Source: RNAcentral